Saccostrea echinata is the source of this 479-nucleotide long non-coding RNA. RefSeq lists it as uncharacterized. The transcript is spliced from 3 exons. The record is from RefSeq and is a predicted model, not a curated record. Lineage: Eukaryota; Metazoa; Mollusca; Bivalvia; Ostreida; Ostreidae.
GCUGCAUAAUUCUUUUAGAAUUUUGGAAUUGUAUGAAAAUUUUAAUAAAUAAUAAUUAGCACUUUUUAUUAUUAUAUCAAUUUCAGAUAAAGGAAGGAAGAUGUUUUAGAGAGAGAUAAUUCCCAAAACAAUGUGAGAUUACAGAUUAUGGAAGAUUGCUGGGCAUUAUGACAAACAAAGGUAUCAAGGAGGAAAAUGAACAAUGUAGGUCAGCAGUCAAAAUCUCUCAACUUAUUCAACUCUUAGCAGCAUGUUCCUAUGGAUCCAGAUGCAUUAAAAGAUUUCUAUUGUGUUGCAACCAAUGGAAUAGGCUAAGAAUCACACUGUUUUGCCUCUGUCACCAAAGACUGAAAUGUUUACUUCAAAAGACCUUCACCUGCAGUUAUUAAUAUUUCAACAAAGUUCGUGGCCCAAAAAAGCUUGCAGUUGAAAAGGAAAGGAAAGAUAAAAAAAAUUCACUAUGUCAUAGAAGCUAGCUU